UAAACAAGAAGACAAAAAAGAAGAAAGAUGAUAAUAAAGCCAAUUAGAAGAACACAAGUGCGCAAUCCAUGAUAAAAGGAACUGGGCACAAAGAACCUCAAUUCGGCAGUUUAUCUUGACCAAUUAGACUGAGACAAGUUUUGCAUGUUUUAGUUGGUAUAACCAAUUACGCCUUAUGUUUAUGUGCGUGUACAGAGAUGGUAUAACCAAUUAUGCCUUAUGUUUAUGCGCGUGUACAGAGAUGGUAUAACCAAUCAUAUUCUAUGCUUGUGCACAUGUACAAUGACUUUGCAGAAUAUGUGAUUAUAAAUAUGUGUGUGUUUUAGCAAUAAAGGGUCGUCUGUUGUCUGCUUUCAACUUUACAGGCGUCCGUUUAUUUCUACCUCCUGCAAAUGGUGACCCCGAUGUGGCCCUGAGAGCGCAGAAGACGCGGCAGGAGAAGCCCUGGUUGGAGGUACUGCUGUCGGCGGGACCGAAGCAGGGAAGCUGAGCCUAGGCUAAGGAGACACCUGAAAGGAAGAUCAUGGAACAAGAUGGGUACCAGCAAAGUGGGUAAAACCCUGGACAGGCGUUACAUCCUUGGAAAAACACUGAACCUAAAAGGACUCCUCCUCGCUGUUAUGGGUGACACACAUAAGGGAAGAAUGGAUCAUCCAACAACCAAAACAGAAUGUAUGGGUAACCUUGGCGAACAUAACGCAUCAAGAAUCUAUCUAUUUUGCUUGUAUAUAGAAAUGCUACAGCUGCGUGUAACUAUAUUCCAGAAUAUCAUGCUCUUUUUCUAUUCCAGCUGUUUUACCUGCGGGGAUGUUUUUAAUUCACGGGGAUAGAGCGUGGGGGGGGGAAUUCCAUCGAAACUUAACGGGAGGCCAUGUAGCCUCAGACGACUUAUGUUACUAACACCCGAUAUCAAUAUGAUUCACAGUAAAAAGGCUCACGAUAACUGACACAGGGUUAAGUGGAUAGCUAGUAAGUUUGGGAAUUAUGGGAUGAUGAAAAGAUUUGCUUAUGCAUGGCUUAGUUAUUCUAAAUGUAGUAUUAGCAGUUGUAAUAAUUGUACCAUAUAUUAUAAAAAUAGUUGAACGUAUGAUUGCAAAAGCAUUUCAUGUAACUUGGCUUG
This is a long non-coding RNA of Aquila chrysaetos chrysaetos, 1120 nucleotides long. RefSeq lists it as uncharacterized. The record is from RefSeq and is a predicted model, not a curated record. The transcript is spliced from 2 exons. Lineage: Eukaryota; Metazoa; Chordata; Aves; Accipitriformes; Accipitridae.